This 1442-nucleotide ribosomal RNA is filed under the name metagenome. Its description in RNAcentral is "bacterial SSU rRNA". It matches the Rfam family "Archaeal small subunit ribosomal RNA". The record is from RNAcentral.
UCUGGUUGAUCCUGCCAGACCUGACUGCUAUCGGGAUACGACUAAGCCAUGCAAGUUGAAUGGUUCUCGUAACCAUAGCGUACUGCUCAGUAACACGUAGAUAACCUACCCUAAGGUUGGGGAUAAUCCCGGGAAACUGGGCAUAAUCCCCAAUAGAUAAGCUGUACUGGAAUGUCUCCUUAUCCAAACCUCCGGGGCCUUAGGAUGGGUCUGCGGCGGAUUAUGUAGUAGGUGGGGUAGCGGCCCACCUAGCCUUUGAUCCGUACCGGACAUGAGAGUGUGUGCCGGGAGAUGGCCACUGAGACAAGGGGCCAGGCCCUACGGGGUGCAGCAGGCGCGAAAACUCUAAAUGCCCGAAAGGGUGAUAGGGGAAUCCCGAGUGCUUCCUUAGCCGGAAGCUUUUCCCGAGCGUAAUGUUCUCGGGGAAUAAGGGGAGGGCAAGGCUGGUGCCAGCCGCCGCGGUAAAGCCAGCUCCCCGAGUGGUCAGGAUGAUUAUUGGGCCUAAGCGUCCGUAGCCGGCCGUGUAAGUCUUUGGUGAAAGGUCGGGUCUUAAGCCCGAAUUUGCUAGGGAUACUGCGCGACUUGGGACCGGAAGAGGCAAAUGGUACGUUGAGGGUAGGGGUGAAAUCCUGUAAUCCCCAACGGACCACCGGUGGCGAAGGCGAUUUGCUGGGACGGAUCCGACGGUGAGGGACGAAACCCAGGGGAGCGAGCGGGAUUAGAUACCCCGGUAGUCCUGGGUGUAAACGAUGCGCACUAGGUGUUGGCGAAGCUACGAGCUCCGUCGGUGCCGAAGCGAAGGCGUUAAGUGCGCCGCCUGGGGAGUACGGUCGCAAGACUGAAACUUAAAGGAAUUGACGGGGGAGCACCACCAGGGGAGGAGCCUGCGGUUCAAUUGGACCCAACGCCGGAAAACUUACCGGAGUCGACAGCAUGAUGAUGGCCAGGCUGAAGACCUUGCUUGAAGCGCUGAGAGGAGGUGCAUGGCCGUCGCCAGCUCGUACCGUGAGGCGUCCUCUUAAGUGAGGCAACGAGCGAGACCCUCAUCCACAGUUGCCAGCACAAGAUGGUAUCUUGGUGGGCACACUGCGGAGACUGCCCGCGAAAAGUGGGAGGAAGGUGAGGGCCACGGCAGGUCAGUAUGCCCCGAAAACUCCGGGCCACACGCGGGCUACAAUGGCUGGGACAGAAGGCCCCGACCUUGAAAGAGGAAGGAAAUCCUUAAACCCAGUCUCAGUUGGGAUUGAGGGCUGCAACCCGCCCUCAUGAACGUGGAUUCCCUAGUAAUCGCGUGUCAUCUAUCGCGCGAUGAAUACGUCCCUGCUCCUUGUACACACCGCCCGUCGUUGCACUCGAGUUGGGUUUGCCUGAGGCUGCAUUUUCCUUCGGGAAGGCGUAGACGAAGGUGAGUUCGAUAAGAGGGCAAAAGUCGUAACAAGGUA